UGCUGCCCAGAUCUAGCUCGUUAGAAUGUUGCUAUAAAUGACACUGCAGGCUAUCUGUAACAUUAUCUGCUGUAGCAAGCUCUUACCACAGACACAAAUGUAUUCGUCUAAAAAACAGAACAGGCUCGUGAUGUGUAGUGUGCCUGUGAACGAAGUGUCGCCUUUGGGACAUCUGUGUAAACGUGUCCCCUCCGUGACGGACUCUGCCUCGUUUCGUUGUUCUCAUUGCGGGUUUCUCUCUGUCUCCGUCUUCACCCGUUAUCUACCUGGGUGUGUCUGGUUUAUCGCUCCCAGCAGUGUCGUGUUUUCCUUUGCCAGUUCAAACCCCGGGUUCUCCUUCGUACGUAAGUGGUGGCAGCUUGUGAGCGUUUGUUCUGGGUCUGUCACGGGUAAUUCUCUUUUCAUUGUAGGUGGUGAGAUCACUGUGUUUGUCUGUUUAUUGAUUGUGGGUGGAGUUCAGCAGGUCACCCAGAACCCGGUGAUGUUCCACCGGUGAUCUGGGUUCUGUACUGCGUAUGAACGGAGUGACUUCCGUCACUGGUUAAUCCUUAAUCGCAUUCAUCCCAGCCUAAUCCUAAACGCAAGCCUACUGAAGGAACGAGAGAGUCAUUUAAAACGGGACAAGUAGGAUCAGUCCUCGUUUAGAUUGGUUUAUCAAACCUUAUUUUCAUCCCAAACCCAUUUCCCCAUUCGAAACAGCCAUGCGUUUUUUUGUUUUUUUUUUAAAUAAUUCAUUGACUCAGCGCAUUCACUUUUCCCUUAUGCCUUUAUACAUUAUACAUGUAAGCCCGGAUUAUAAUAAUUGUUUAUCAAUUACAAAACACCCUGAGUAUAAUUAAUCUUUACAACAUGCCAAUUCUGUACAAUGCAAAUGGGUUUUCCCCUUCUGACCACUCGAUAAGCAGCAUUCAUUUAUUCUGCGUUGAAAUGUAUAGGCCUUCUUACUGCUGAUCACAACACUGUACACACCAGCUGCCAGCUUCUAAUUGCCUUUAGGCACAACCCAGCCCAUUCAAAACAGAUUAGCCGUUAAGCGCUGGAUAGUCCAAGCGUGUGUAUAAUAGGGCCUAGUUAACAGCGCUGGCAUGUCACAAAACGCUGGGACUCAGCAAAUGACUCAGCGAUGAGUGAAAUGUGGAGGUGUGUGUGUGUAUUGGGAAACGUCUGGUUGCCAAUACUGCUUGGUGCGUGAGAACAGCUCCCGUGGUGCGGCUGCCUGCAUGCCUUUGUAGGUGUGCAGAUGCAUGAUGAAUCUCCCCGAGAUGCCCUGUGCUUUUAGCUGAGCCACCGAACAAAGGGCUUUUCUUCCAAAACCACAUUAACUAAGCAAUCCCCCCCAACUGCCAAUAUUAACCCCCUUUAUUUGCACAACCCUGUUUAUUCUUCUUUUCUCAUAAUGAGCUGUCAUUUUGGUUGAUAAAUUACAGGUAAUUGCAUUAAAUGCACAAAGAAGCACCAAGGCGCCGCGGUGCCUCUGUCGCCCUGGGCUGUCGGAGGAUUACAAACAGGCGAUCGGAGGAGGGCCGCAGCACGGCGCGUUUAUUUCUGGAGAUGUGGGGGACAGGAGCCAGGCGGAGGACCCUACAGGAGCAGGGCUUCCUGUGAGCGGUCCGGGAUGACACAGUACAGAGGCGGAGUUCUGACGAUCACGACUCCUUUUGUCAGCGAACGUUCCGGGGCCGGGAUACACUACACAUGUUUCCGUGAGCUGCAGGGUAAUGGAAUUUCCUUUGACUGGCUGGGAGUGACAUACUAAUGCAGAAGGAGCCGUGAUGGCAGACUCGCGGCUCGGUUACCGACUGCAGAAGCCAGGACGCAACAGGGAACUGUACGACUGAACGGUCAGCUGGGCUUCUGACCUCGGCGAGUGUGUGGUGUGCAGUCAGCUGGAGACAAACGUGAUAGAUGACAGUGGUACUGCCCAUGUGCCUGGUUUCUACUGAGUGGGUCUGCAAUGACAUCUGUACCCUGUAUAAUUUCAUUAUGGAAUUGAGUGAGUGAUAUUAAUGAUGCAUAAUUUCGUUAUGGAAUUGAGUGAGUGAUAUUAAUGAUGCAUAAUUUCGUUAUGGAAUUGAGUCUGAUUGGAGCCACAGGUACUACAGGUGAUGAAGGAAGGCGAAUCACAGCUCAUCUCUCUGUGGUUGUUAAGGGACCGCGCCGCACUCUGUCCUGUUCAGUGCAGGCCUAGUUUGUUUCGGUCACAAAGCGCAGCCUAGUCCCUGUACAGUCAGUCGUAUGCAUUAUCAGGAACGUCAUCUAACAGCCUUCCGAGGACUUCACACCCUCGUAGUGAGGGGCGAGGUCACGGAUCAACCGCCACGUGCCGUCUUAUUCAGAAUCGCUUAGAACCCUGCAGAGCAAACCAUAUACCCACAGCGAGCUUCGUGCAUGCGAUAAAAUCUAGAACAGGCAGAAUCCUCCUUCCGAAGGCCUCACACAUCCCGGAAAGAGACGUGCAGUCUGGCGGCACAAACGGAGCUCGUGGCCCUGCGAAACAAAACCAAAACCAAAGCAGAUAAGUUAAUUCUCUUCUUUCUAUACACAUCUUAGAAUUUUUACAUUUUUUUCUUACUUAAAGAUAUAUUACAUUGGGCUUAAUGAAUAAAUGAAUCAUAUUUAACAUGUUCUACUGACAACGUUAUCACGUUGUCAUGGUUAUUCUUCGUGAUGGACCAAAUCUGUGCAGCAGACUUGCUCCUCUGCCUGUGUCGGCCUGCAUCAUAUGCUGCGCGGUAGAGACUCGGACACGCCUGAUAAAGGCAGGAGUUGCCACGGCUCCCUGCUGAUGACUGAUUACUCUGCAGACCCAUGUGGAGCCCAGACCUUUGAUACAUUACACAAAUGCAUUGAUUUUUCUCCUCUAAGAGCAGCUCAUGCUCACAGCGACAUGGCAGGCAGCGCUGACAUGGUCCACCUCGCUCAGCUAGCUGACCGGGGGCAGUCCAUCUCCCAGCAGAGCCUCAGUGCCUCCGCACGCUGCUCAGUUCAUUAAGAAAUUAUAUGUCAGGCCAGUCAAUACACUGAACAGUCCCUGUAAUCUCUGGACCACUCCAGUAGGAAAAGUGAGGGGAUGCGUUUACCUUGGGCGUUAAUACGCUGCUUUGCUAAUUUGGUUCUCCUUAUUUUCAAGUGGAAUUUUUUUUUUACACAGAAUAAUGGAUAUUUUGUGGGAGAUUAUAUAUAAACAUAUGAAAUAUAUCCAUGCAAAAUUAACUAAAAAUAGAUAUAAUCUAAAUCUAUUUUAGUUAUACAAAGGGAUCCGAAGCUACAUUAAUUAUGCUGAGGAGAAAGUGUUCUUGACCGUACUCUUUACUAGAAGACACCAGAGUAACGCGCACUAUGUGCUGGACAGCGGAGUAGCACGCACUGUGUGCUGGACAGCGGAGUAGCACGCACUGUGUGCUGGACAGCGGAGUAGCACGCACUGUGUGCUGGACAGCGGAGUAGCACGCACUGUGUGCUGGACUCCAGAGUAACACCCAGCAUAUGCCAAAGUACCAUUCACUACAUCAUGGACACCAGAGUAGCACCUACUGUGUGCUGAACACCAGAGUAACGCCUACUAUAUGUGCUUAUAAUUGUGAAUAUGUGUAUUCACAGACUUUAAAAAAAUGUAUGUAGAGAGGAACUUGUGAGCUGGCAGAAGGAUGGACAAUCGUACCUGUGAAGGUGGGGCACUUCCUGUGAAGCAGUUUGUCCAGGAAGUCUCCGUCCUGGCUCCGUCUGAAGCCCAAGGUGAGGACGUAGCGCUGGGAUGAGGACUCGCUCCAGAUGGUGGUCUGGGGCAACAGAUGUCCUCCACAUGGAUCUGAAGGAGGCGAAAACCAGGGAACCGACUGUGUUUUGGGUGUGAGGGUGUGCGUGCCCAUGACCUUCACAUGCUGACGCCUCACAACCUUUUGCUUCGUGUCUUUUGCUGAACUUUUACAGUAAUGCUGUGAAUAUGCGUUUAAACCUCAUAUGUUCUUAGACUUAUAAUAAUGACGA
This is a long non-coding RNA of Electrophorus electricus (electric eel), 3987 nucleotides long. RefSeq lists it as uncharacterized. Lineage: Eukaryota; Metazoa; Chordata; Actinopteri; Gymnotiformes; Gymnotidae. The record is from RefSeq and is a predicted model, not a curated record.